This 254-nucleotide ribosomal RNA is filed under the name uncultured bacterium. RNAcentral describes it as "partial 16S ribosomal RNA". It matches the Rfam family "Bacterial small subunit ribosomal RNA", at positions 524 to 776 of the family's 1533-position model. The record is from RNAcentral.
UACGGGGGGAGCAAGCGUUGUUCGGAUUUACUGGGCGUAAAGGGCGCGUAGGCGGCCACCGCAAGUCGGUUGUGAAAUCUCCGGGCUUAACCCGGAAAGGUCAAUCGAUACUGCGGGGCUAGAGUGCAGAAGGGGCAACUGGAAUUCUCGGUGUAGCGGUAAAAUGCGUAGAUAUCGAGAGGAACACCUGCGGCGAAGGCGGGUUGCUGGGCUGACACUGACGCUGAAGCGCGAAAGCUAGGGGAGCGAACGGG